UCUAUGAGAGCGGCGAACGGGUGAGUAAUACGUUGGUAUCUGCCUCAAAGUCAGGGAUAGCUCAUCGAAAGAUGAAUUAAUACCGGAUAGUCUCUAAGGAGUAAAAAUUUAUUGCUUUGAGAGGAGCCUACGUUCUAUCAGCUUGUUGGUAAGGUAAAAGCUUACCAAGGCUAUGACGGAUAAUUGGUCUGAGAGGAUGACCAGUCACAAUGGAACUGAGACACGGUCCAUACUCC
Molecule: ribosomal RNA, 236 nt
Filed under: uncultured bacterium
Lineage: Bacteria
Description: partial 16S ribosomal RNA
Rfam family: Bacterial small subunit ribosomal RNA
Source: RNAcentral